RNAcentral lists this ribosomal RNA (201 nucleotides) under Clostridioides difficile. Its description in RNAcentral is "partial 23S ribosomal RNA". It matches the Rfam family "Bacterial large subunit ribosomal RNA", at positions 2163 to 2362 of the family's 2925-position model. Lineage: Bacteria; Bacillati; Bacillota; Clostridia; Peptostreptococcales; Peptostreptococcaceae. The record is from RNAcentral.
CCAGGACGCCAGUUUUGGCGGAGCCAUCCUUGGGAUACCACCCUUGUAGUACUGGGACUCUAACCAUAGGCCAUGAAUCUGGUCUUGGGACACUGUCAGGCGGGCAGUUUGACUGGGGCGGUCGCCUCCCAAAAGGUAACGGAGGCGCUCAAAGGUUCUCUCAGUACGGUCGGAAAUCGUACGUAGAGUGUAAAGGCAAAA